GGUUAGCGAAAACCAAAUACUUUGGCUUCGGAGCUUCUAGACAAUUGACAGUUAGAAUUAUUGGGGACUUAGAAAUUUUACACCCGUAUUUUGAAUUUCUCUAAUAGAUGAGAAUUUCAAAAUACUGGUAAAAUUGCUAAGUCCCCAAGAGGUACCGAACUAUAAGUAACAUAUCCUAUACAUAUAGGUACAUAUUAUUAUAAGAUAAUCUACCAAGCGAAGUGAGGUUUUUCAUUUACUGUCUUAAACUCAAUGAUGUAUAAGUUGUAUAUGAUGUAUAAGUAGUAUAGGUACAAUAUGUAUACUUUUCAAAUUGCCCGCCAAAUCCAGAGAACUGUCAAUUGUCUAGAAGCUCCGAAGCAAAGUAUUUGGUUUUCUCUAGACGCAAGUGGUGAAGGGAUGAUGGGCGUACUAGCCAGCCCACUUAAAAUUGAAACCUAUGAUAAGAAUGUAUUGCAGUUUUAAGGAAUGUGUAGAUAUUGGAUAUUAUGUUUUUAAGUCAGUCGAGUUUGUAACAUUCUUC
Diabrotica virgifera virgifera (western corn rootworm) is the source of this 523-nucleotide long non-coding RNA. RefSeq lists it as uncharacterized. The transcript has 3 exons. Lineage: Eukaryota; Metazoa; Arthropoda; Insecta; Coleoptera; Chrysomelidae. The record is from RefSeq and is a predicted model, not a curated record.